GACGAACGCUGGCGGCGUGCUUAACACAUGCAAGUCGAACGGAAAGGCCCUGCUUGCAGGGUACUCGAGUGGCGAACGGGUGAGUAACACGUGGGUGAUCUGCCCUGCACUUCGGGAUAAGCCUGGGAAACUGGGUCUAAUACCGGAUAGGAGCCAUUUUUAGUGUGAUGGUUGGAAAGUUUUUUCGGUGUAGGAUGAGCUCGCGGCCUAUCAGCUUGUUGGUGGGGUAAUGGCCUACCAAGGCGGCGACGGGUAGCCGGCCUGAGAGGGUGGACGGCCACAUUGGGACUGAGGUGCGGCCCAGGCUCCUACGGGAGGCAGCAGUGGGGAAUAUUGCACAAUGGGCGCAAGCCUGAUGCAGCGACGCCGCGGGGGGGAUGACGGCCUUCGGGUUGUAAACUCCUUUCGCUAGGGACGAAGCUUUUUGUGACGGUACCUAGAUAAGAAGCACCGGCUAACUACGUG
Molecule: ribosomal RNA, 465 nt
Filed under: uncultured bacterium
Lineage: Bacteria
Description: partial 16S ribosomal RNA
Rfam family: Bacterial small subunit ribosomal RNA
Source: RNAcentral